CCUGGUGGUUCAGAUGGUAAGAAAAUCUGCUUGCAAUACAGAAGACCCAGGUUUGAUCCCUGGGUCAGGA
RNAcentral lists this transfer RNA (70 nucleotides) under Capra hircus (goat). It matches the Rfam family "tRNA". From Rfam's summary of the family: Transfer RNA (tRNA) molecules are approximately 80 nucleotides in length. Their secondary structure includes four short double-helical elements and three loops (D, anti-codon, and T loops). Further hydrogen bonds mediate the characteristic L-shaped molecular structure. tRNAs have two regions of fundamental functional importance: the anti-codon, which is responsible for specific mRNA codon recognition, and the 3' end, to which the tRNAs corresponding amino acid is attached (by aminoacyl-tRNA synthetases). tRNAs cope with the degeneracy of the genetic code in two manners: having more than one tRNA (with a specific anti-codon) for a particular amino acid; and 'wobble' base-pairing, i.e. permitting non-standard base-pairing at the 3rd anti-codon position. The record is from Rfam by way of RNAcentral. Lineage: Eukaryota; Metazoa; Chordata; Mammalia; Artiodactyla; Bovidae. RNAcentral also lists the same sequence under 1 other name.